AUUGAACGCUGGCGGCAUGCCUUACACAUGCAAGUCGAACGGUAACGCGGGGGCAACCCUGGCGACGAGUGGCGAACGGGUGAGUAAUACAUCGGAACGUACCCAGUAGUGGGGGAUAGCUCGGCGAAAGCCGGAUUAAUACCGCAUACGACCUAUGGGUGAAAGCGGGGGAUCGCAAGACCUCGCGCUAUUGGAGCGGCCGAUGUCGGAUUAGCUAGUUGGUGAGGUAAAGGCNCACCAAGGCUACGAUCCGUAGCUGGUCUGAGAGGACGACCAGCCACACUGGGACUGAGACACGGCCCAGACUCCUACGGGAGGCAGCAGUGGGGAAUUUUGGACAAUGGGCGAAAGCCUGAUCCAGCCAUGCCGCGUGUGUGAAGAAGGCCUCGG
Molecule: ribosomal RNA, 390 nt
Filed under: uncultured bacterium
Lineage: Bacteria
Description: bacterial SSU rRNA
Rfam family: Bacterial small subunit ribosomal RNA
Source: RNAcentral